RNAcentral lists this ribosomal RNA (253 nucleotides) under uncultured bacterium. RNAcentral describes it as "partial 16S ribosomal RNA". It matches the Rfam family "Bacterial small subunit ribosomal RNA", at positions 524 to 776 of the family's 1533-position model. The record is from RNAcentral.
GACGUAGGGCGCGAGCGUUGUCCGGAUUUAUUGGGCGUAAAGAGCUCGUAGGCGGCUUGUCGCGUCGUCCGUGAAAACCUGCAGCUCAACUGCAGGCUUGCGGUCGAUACGGGCAGGCUGGAGUUCGGUAGGGGAGACUGGAAUUCCUGGUGUAGCGGUGAAAUGCGCAGAUAUCAGGAGGAACACCGGUGGCGAAGGCGGCUCUCUGGACCGAUAUUGACGCUGAGACGCGAAAGCGUGGGUAGCAAACAGG